Molecule: ribosomal RNA, 309 nt
Filed under: uncultured eukaryote
Lineage: Eukaryota
Description: partial 18S ribosomal RNA
Rfam family: Eukaryotic small subunit ribosomal RNA
Source: RNAcentral
CCCUUAGAUGUCCUGGGCGGCCCGCGCACUACAAUGGCGUGUGCAGCGAGUACCGAAGUAGAGUUUUCCGAGGUAUUCUUGCAAUGCUCGUUUUGAUGGGGAUAGACCCUUGCAACUGUUGGUUUUGAACGAGGAAUUCCUUGUAAGCAUGGUUUAUCAUCCGACGCUGAAUGCGUCCCUGCCCUUUGUACACACCGCCCGUCGCUCCUACCGAUGAGUCGUCCGGUGAAGUUCGUAGACCUCGUGAUUGCGGAUCACUGGGGGAAGCAAAAUGAACCUCGCGGUUUAGAGGAAGGAGAAGUCGUAACA